UUUCCGUAGGUGAACCUGCGGAAGGAUCAUUACUGAGUGAGGGCCCUCUGGGUCCAACCUCCCACCCGUGUUUAUUAUACCUUGUUGCUUCGGUGAGCCCGCCUCACGGCCGCCGGGGGGCAUCUGCCCCCGGGCCCGCGCCCACCGAAGACACCUAGAACUCUGUAUGAAGAUUGCAGUCUGAGCAAAAACUAAAUAAGUUAAAACUUUCAACAACGGAUCUCUUGGUUCCC
RNAcentral lists this unclassified non-coding RNA (233 nucleotides) under plant metagenome. Its description in RNAcentral is "partial contains small subunit ribosomal RNA, internal transcribed spacer 1, and 5.8S ribosomal RNA". The record is from RNAcentral.